This 301-nucleotide ribosomal RNA is filed under the name uncultured bacterium. Its description in RNAcentral is "partial 16S ribosomal RNA". It matches the Rfam family "Bacterial small subunit ribosomal RNA", at positions 509 to 807 of the family's 1533-position model. The record is from RNAcentral.
CAGUAGCCGCGGGAAUACGUAGGGUGCAAGCGUUAAUCGGAAUUACUGGGCGUAAAGCGUGCGCAGGCGGUUUGUUGAGACAGAUGUGAAAUCCCCGGGCUCAACCUGGGAACUGCAUUUGUGACUGGCAGGCUAGAGUAUGGCAGAGGGGGGUGGAAUUCCGCGUGUAGCAGUGAAAUGCGUAGAUAUGCGGAGGAACACCGAUGGCGAAGGCAGCCCCCUGGGCCAAUUCUGACGCUCAUGCACGAAAGCGUGGGGAGCAAACAGGAUUAGAUACCCCGGUAGUCCCUGUCUCUUAUAC